Andrographis paniculata is the source of this 939-nucleotide RNA transcript. It is a transcript of the gene named ubiquitin-conjugating enzyme E2-17 kDa-like, with no coding region annotated. Lineage: Eukaryota; Viridiplantae; Streptophyta; Magnoliopsida; Lamiales; Acanthaceae. The record is from RefSeq and is a predicted model, not a curated record. The transcript has 7 exons.
AUCUAUUUUGAUAGAAAGGUAUCAAAUACCUCUUUCCAUAUAUCGCUCUCUCCUUCCCUAUCUUCUCUCCUUCCGAAUUCUCAUCUCCUUCUCCGCGUUUAAUCAGGGUUUUGGUUUUUCACGUUGAAUAUAAAGCGAGCUUUAAUUAAUGGCGUCGAAGAGGAUACUGAAGGAGCUCAAGGACUUGCAGAAGGAUCCUCCGACGUCGUGCAGCGCCGGUCCGGUUGGAGAAGAUAUGUUUUACUGGCAGGCGACAAUCAUGGGUCCUUCUGACAGUCCAUAUGCUGGAGGUGUAUUUUUAGUUUCAAUAUAUUUCCCCCCUGAUUACCCUUUUAAACCCCCCAAGGUUUCAUUUAAAACAAAAGUGUUCCAUCCUAACAUCAAUAGCAAUGGAAGCAUCUGCCUUGAUAUCCUCAAGGAGCAGUGGAGCCCUGCAUUGACAAUAUCCAAGGUGCUGCUGUCCAUUUGCUCGUUGUUGACGGAUCCGAACCCGGAUGAUCCUCUGGUCCCGGAGAUCGCACAUAUGUAUAAAACAGACACAGCCAAAUAUGAGGCUACUGCACGCAGCUGGACGCAAAAAUACGCUAUGGGAUAGGAUAGAUCAGUGAUAGAUCUUUGUAAUAAAGUUUCACUUGAGAAGCUGUUUGCUUCUAAAAAGCAUAUAAGAAGCGCAUCUAGGACUAACGGUCGGCUAGCGCGCUUGGAGGAACGAUUUGAUCAUUUCAAAAAUUAUGCCUUGACAAUCAACAGCUCGAGAGGAUGAUUGCCUGACCAGACCGCCGCGACCUCAAUGGCGAAUCUGGUGCGCCACAUGUUUGUUGAUUUUUGUACUAAGUAUUUGAACUUUAAUAAUUUACGUAUUCUACUAUUUUAAAAUAUACGGUUUUUUAUGAUAUCCAUCGAUUACGGAACUAUGUUUAUAAAUAUCGUGUGAUUUGA